Felis catus (domestic cat) is the source of this 1052-nucleotide long non-coding RNA. RefSeq lists it as uncharacterized. The transcript has 3 exons. NCBI's taxonomy places the organism in Eukaryota, Metazoa, Chordata, Mammalia, Carnivora, Felidae. The record is from RefSeq and is a predicted model, not a curated record.
CCGCCGGGUCCUAGGCGGAGCAGAGAGCAGGAGGACGCGGAGCCGGGCCGCUGGAAGCCGGGGAGCCUCGGCGUCGCCGCCGGCCUGUGCAAACAGACGGACGACAGUGACAGCGCGCAGCCGGCGGGGGAAGGGUGGGAGGGGCCCCCGGGUGCCGGGGGAAUCCCCACCCCACGGCUCCAUCUCCCCCCGGUGCAGCUCUGCUGCCCGCGGACCCUUGGACCCAGGAGGCGGCUGGGUGACCCUCUUUCAAAGGCAGGGCAGCCCAGAGGAUUCCUGCCGUCGCCCCUAGGCACCCUGCGACCGUGGGAUUCUUGGAGAGUGUCACCUCUGCUAGAUUUCACUGGGACUCGCCACUGUCUGAUGAGAACAUCUGCCCAGUAUUGUAGAGGUUAUAGAGAAUGGAAAUGUUUAUAGCCCGAAAGGAAGAAAUAAGAAACCGUGUGUCCUAUCAGAGAAUGAAGAUCCUGGGCUAAAAACAAAAGCCUGAAAACACUGACAGAUGAAGCCCAGAACAUUUGGCUGAUCGUUGUAUAUUUGAUGAAGAUUUUGUGUCCUUAGUCUGAAAGACAUUGUAAAAUAUUAUAGAUUUAGUUUCUGCCGAUUCAGUUUCUUCCAAGUGAUCCGCUUAAUUUCACAGGUGUGGAGGUGGUUAGAAGUCCUCAUACUGGGUGGUAAAUAAAAUGAUUUCUUCUGUUACAUUUACUGAGGAGACUUGAUGCCUUCUUCUGAAGAAAUAAAGGGCUCAUUCAAUUUUGAGAUAAACUUUUAUUGUUGGGAACUCAAAAAUUCCUUUCACAGGAAAAAUAACAAUGCUAUUUUCAAUUGGGGGGAAAAGGGUUUUAAAUUAAAUUCUAAAAUCCUAUUAUGUGCUUAUUACAUACUAAUGUGAGUUCAUCUUUUUGGUAAAAUGAACACCCAAGCAUGUUUGUAUGCAGUUUAUGCCCGUUCCAAGACUCUAAAAGGCUGGCACAGAUUCGGGCAAGAAAAAUGUGUCUAUUUCCUCUCAAUAUGUCUACUGUUUGAAUUAAAUAUACUGGAGACUGGUGUAA